UGCAGAUGAUGUAAACGAAUAUUUGCUAUCUUAACAGCAAUGUAGACAACUUCCACCAAGAUCGCUGAUGCA
This is a small nucleolar RNA of Myripristis murdjan (pinecone soldierfish), 72 nucleotides long. Its record names the gene SNORD24. It matches the Rfam family "Small nucleolar RNA SNORD24". From Rfam's summary of the family: U24 is a member of the C/D class of snoRNA which contain the C (UGAUGA) and D (CUGA) box motifs. C/D box snoRNAs have been shown to act as methylation guides for a number of RNA targets. The record is from Ensembl. NCBI's taxonomy places the organism in Eukaryota, Metazoa, Chordata, Actinopteri, Holocentriformes, Holocentridae.